This is a long non-coding RNA of Girardinichthys multiradiatus, 183 nucleotides long. RefSeq lists it as uncharacterized. Lineage: Eukaryota; Metazoa; Chordata; Actinopteri; Cyprinodontiformes; Goodeidae. The transcript is spliced from 3 exons. The record is from RefSeq and is a predicted model, not a curated record.
GGAAUAGGCACGCACUUGUCCACAGUUAAGCUGCAACAUUUGCAAUGAACCAAGGUCACCCCAUGCACCUGCUCUCCUGAGCCCUUUUCUGGAGAACACGGUGUGACUUGAGAUUAUCAGAAUUAUGUUCGCGCAGGUAGGGGAAACUAAAACAUGUAAACUCGACAUGCCUUUUACUAUUCG